This 444-nucleotide ribosomal RNA is filed under the name Triticum aestivum (bread wheat). RNAcentral describes it as "partial small subunit ribosomal RNA". The record is from RNAcentral. Lineage: Eukaryota; Viridiplantae; Streptophyta; Magnoliopsida; Poales; Poaceae.
AUGAUGAAAAUGAAUGGAAUACUCGGAGUUGUCAUAUUCCUAUUAAUGAUUGUGACAGCUUUUACAGGAUACGUACCACCUUGGGGUCAGAUGAGCUUUUGGGGAGCAACAGUAAUUACAAGCUUAGCUAGCGCCAUACCAGUAGUAGGAGAUACCAUAGUGACUUGGCUUUGGGGUGGUUUCUCCAUGGACAAUGCCACCUUAAAUCAUUUUUUUAGUCUCCAUCAUUUACUCGCCCUUGUUCUUCAUUUUGAUUUAAAUGUUCUCCCCCCGGGAGCUGAGGAGUUCUGGCAGAGGCAGCCCCCUUUUCCAGAUCAUGAUUCUGGGGAGAAAACUGAUGAAUCGGAUCUCGACACGGAUUAUGACUUAACUGAUGAUUCAGAAACUGAUGAAUCAGGGAGUGAAUCUUCUUAUAUGGAUUGCUCUGAAGGAACACCCCCCUGA